This 84-nucleotide small nucleolar RNA is filed under the name Dufourea novaeangliae. RNAcentral describes it as "Small nucleolar RNA snR60/Z15/Z230/Z193/J17". It matches the Rfam family "Small nucleolar RNA snR60/Z15/Z230/Z193/J17". From Rfam's summary of the family: The members of this family belong to the C/D class of snoRNAs which contain the C (UGAUGA) and D (CUGA) box motifs. Lineage: Eukaryota; Metazoa; Arthropoda; Insecta; Hymenoptera; Halictidae. The record is from Rfam by way of RNAcentral.
UAAAAAUAAAUGAUGACUUCAUAGUUCAACUGAUUUAGAUUGAAGAAUGUUACUAAUGUCUUUCGCUCCUAUCUGAUAAUUUUA